This 253-nucleotide ribosomal RNA is filed under the name uncultured bacterium. Its description in RNAcentral is "partial 16S ribosomal RNA". It matches the Rfam family "Bacterial small subunit ribosomal RNA", at positions 524 to 776 of the family's 1533-position model. The record is from RNAcentral.
UACGUAGGUGGCAAGCGUUGUCCGGAAUUAUUGGGCGUAAAGCGCGCGCAGGCGGUCCUCUAAGUCUGAUGUGAAAGCCCACGGCUCAACCGUGGAGGGUCAUUGGAAACUGGGGGACUUGAGUGCAGGAGAGAAGAGUGGAAUUCCACGUGUAGCGGUGAAAUGCGUAGAGAUGUGGAGGAACACCAGUGGCGAAGGCGACUCUUUGGCCUGUAACUGACGCUGAGGCGCGAAGGCGUGGGGAGCAAACAGG